AUGGAGCAGCAGCCUGUGGCGGCGGCAGCGGCAGCGGAGCCGGAGGUACCGGCGGGGCUUGGGCUGACGGCCGCGGAGUACGCGCAGCUGCUGCCCACGGUGGAGGCGUACCACCGGUACGCCGUGGGGCCAGGCCAAUGCUCCUCCCUCGUCGCGCAGCGUAUCGAGGCGCCGCCAGCAGCCGUCUGGGCCAUCGUCCGCCGCUUCGACUGCCCCCAGGUGUACAAACACUUCAUCCGCAGCUGCGCGCUCCGCCCGGACCCCGAGGCCGGCGACGAGCUCCGCCCGGGCCGCCUCCGCGAGGUCAGCGUCAUCUCCGGCCUCCCCGCCAGCACCAGCACCGAGCGCCUCGACCUCCUCGACGACGCGCGCAGGGCCUUCGGCUUCACCAUCACCGGCGGCGAGCACCGCCUCCGCAACUACCGGUCCGUCACCACCGUCUCCGAACUCUCCCCGGCCGCGCCCGCUGAGAUCUGCACCGUCGUCCUCGAGUCAUACGUCGUCGACGUCCCCGACGGCAACAGCGAGGAGGACACGCGCCUCUUCGCGGACACUGUCGUCAGGCUCAACCUCCAGAAGCUCAAGUCCGUGGCCGAGGCCAACGCCGCCGCCGCGGCCACGACCGCGCCGCCGGCAGAAUAA
RNAcentral lists this ribosomal RNA (642 nucleotides) under Triticum aestivum (bread wheat). RNAcentral describes it as "partial small subunit ribosomal RNA". Lineage: Eukaryota; Viridiplantae; Streptophyta; Magnoliopsida; Poales; Poaceae. The record is from RNAcentral.